CGCCGUCCCCUGCUCCGCCGGCGCGGUGGUACCUCCCUUAAAGAAGCCGGCGCCUCAUUGUUCCCAGGCCGCGGCCGCCCAGGGUCGGGGGCGCCCUUCCCCGCGCGGAGAGGAAGAGGUGGCGGCGCCGGCACCUGACUGCUGCCCGCCGUGCACGUCCUGCCCGACGGCUCGUGUAGAGUCGGGAUCUAACCGGCGCGCGGCGAGAGGCGCCGGUCCUAGCCGAUCGGUCCCGGAUUGACAGCGAACACAGUCGUUCUUCCGGGGCCAGACCGUCAGCCCGAGUCAUUAGGCAACCCGACUGGCCUUAGAUCCCAGCACUCAUUCCCCUGACAGCUAGCCUGGAACUGUCAGUUACUUAGAGACCAAGACCAGUUGGUCAUUCAGUUAGUUAACCCAGAUCCGUGAGCACCCGCCAGAAACGUCCAUUCCUUGUUCACCGAUUUUUCUGCGACUACUAUGUACUUGUCAAUAAGGUGGUGGUUCCCCCUCCCAGUGCUGUAUAAGGCACGAUGUGCAAAGAAUCGUUGUCACUGUUUUCAAGGAUCAACCAAUUAUCCGUUUUAUUUUCUGUCCUCCAUUUACUGACCUUUUCUUUAGAGUCUGGAACUGGGUUAGAUCUUUAUAUAAACUAUCUCGCCUAAUCCUAAUCAGACCCUACAAGGGCAGGCUUUAGUUUUAAUCCUAUUUUUGAGAAAACAGGCCUCUGACUUAUUUGACCGAAAGGUAUCUGUUUUGGAUGGGGUACCUGCCUUGAAAACUUAUUCCCUGAUGUAACACCACUGCCACUGCCCCCCAAAACAGCAACAAAACUGCUCUGUAAUCUGUUCAGACUUUUGUCCUGAGUGCCAAUCUUCACCUUUCUACUAGGAAUACUAGGUAACCCAGGGCUUGAUUUCUCUUCUUGAAAGCAGAGGGGAAAUACGGAAGUCUCUGUAGACACCUGUAGCUGCAUGUAUGGAUAAUUGAUCAAAAUCAGGAGAUGGGUAUCUCUUUGGAUCGGAGGAGGCUUUUCCUUUUGUUUGUCUCAGUCAUUAAAUAUAGGAGUCCCUCCUUUCAAUAUGGUUGCAGAACUGAGACUUGAAGUCCACCCCACAACCCUCAAAGACAGGCUGACUCUAAAGUCUGUGAGGUGGAUUCAGGUCUUGUAGAGCUUGAAGCUUAAACAGUUUGGGGUGUCCUCUUUGAUAAAGAGAUUACAAAAUGGCUUUGUGAACACAUUGCUGGGGCCUUGGAAAUGGUCUCUGUAAGUGAGGCACUGAAUCUUAAGCUUCAUUUGCUUCAGGGUGAAUCUGCCUCUACUUAUUACGUUAUGUCAUUAUUUGUUUGCCAGCAGGCCUUCUCCUACUAGAUGGAGAGUUCCUGGGACUCUUGAGACAGGAACCUUGUCUGUGAUUCAUCUCUGCAGCCUCCUCUAUUUGAUACGGAGUGGGAGCCGUGAAAGAGAAGAAACUGAUCAAGAAAGGAAAGGUGGGCAGCCACCGUGCUGUGACGAUGCUUACGCAACCCUGUGGAGAGGUAUGUUGCUGAGGAACUGACGCUUCUCACCAAAUUGCCAACCGUAUGAGUGGAGGUGGCUCCUCCAGCUCUAGUGAACCUUACGAUGAACUGACUGCAGCUCCAGGCGACACCUUCACUGCACUCUCCUUAGAGACACUGAGCCGAACCACCCAGCUAAGCUGCUCUUGAAUUCCUGACCCACAGAAA
Rhinolophus ferrumequinum (greater horseshoe bat) is the source of this 1707-nucleotide long non-coding RNA. RefSeq lists it as uncharacterized. The transcript has 3 exons. The record is from RefSeq and is a predicted model, not a curated record. NCBI's taxonomy places the organism in Eukaryota, Metazoa, Chordata, Mammalia, Chiroptera, Rhinolophidae.